RNAcentral lists this long non-coding RNA (1708 nucleotides) under Taeniopygia guttata (zebra finch). RNAcentral describes it as "lncRNA (ENSTGUG00000023016.1)". Lineage: Eukaryota; Metazoa; Chordata; Aves; Passeriformes; Estrildidae. The record is from RNAcentral.
AUUUACCUGGGGGGGGUCCCAAAACUCACCUGGGGGACCCCAAAAUUCACCUGGGUAGCCCCAAAAUCAACUGGGGGGCACCAAAACUCACCUGGGGGACACCUGGGGGGGGUCCCAAAAUUACCUGGGGGGGUCCCAAAAUCACCUGGGGGCCCCAAAACUCACCUGGGGGACCCCAAAACUCACCUGGGGGGUCCCAAAACUCACCUGGGGAGCACCUGGGGGGGUCCCAAAAUCACCGGGGGACCCCAAAACUCACCUGGGGGGUCCCAAAACUCACCUGGGGGACACCUGGGGGGGUCCCAAAAUUACCUGGGGGGUCCCAAAACUCACCUGGGGAGCCCCAAAAUCACCUGGGGGGCACCUGGGGGGGUCCCAAAAUCACCGGGGGACCCCAAAACUCACCUGGGGGGUCCCAAAACUCACCUGGGGGACACCUGGGGGGGUCCCAAAAUUACCUGGGGGGUCCCAAAACUCACCUGGGGAGCACCAAAACUCACCUGGGGGACCCAAAAUAUCACCUGGGGGACCCCAAAAUUCACCUGGGGGACACCUGGGGGACCCCAAAACUCACCUGGGGGGUCCCAAAAUCACCCUGGGGGACCCCAAAAUUCACCUGGGGAGCCCCAAAACUCACCUGGGGGACCCCAAACUCACCUGGGGGGGUCCCAGCCCCGGGGGGUUUGGGGAAUUUGGGGGUUUUUGGGGUCUCCAGCCCCUUUUUCUCUCUCCCCCCACAGGAGGAACCAGCGACCCCCCCCAGGUGUGACGGGGGGGGGACCCCAAAUCCCACCUGAACCCCCCCAGGUGGGACCGGGACCCCAAAAAUCCCAAAUCUCACCUGGGGGGGGCCCAAAAAAUCCCCAAAUUUCCUUGGGGAACCCCAAAAAUCCCAAAUCUCACCUGGGGGACCCAAAAUCCCCCUGGGGAUGCCCCAAAAAUCCCCAAAUCUCACCUGGGGGGCCCAAAAAACCCCAAAUUUCCUUGGGGAACUCCAAAACUCCCAAAUCUCACCUGGGGGGACCCCAAAAACCCCAAAAUCCCCCUGGGGAGGCCCCAAAAAUCCCAAAUCUCACCUGGGGGGACCCCAAAAACCCCAAAAUCCCCCUGGGGAGGCCCCAAAAAUCCCAAAUCUCACCUGGGGGGGGUCCCCAAUUUUCCCCCCGUGGGGAUUUUGGGGUCCCCCCCCCUCUCCAGUUUUGUCUUUUUGUCGAAUAAAACUUCAAAACUCCUCCGGCUUCGUCCUUAAUUUUUGGGUGUCCCCAUUAAUUUUGGGGUCCCCCCCGGUCUUUUUCACCCCCCCCCCCAAAAAAAAAAAAAUCCCAAAUUUUGGGGCGGUUCCUCAAAAAAAAAAAACACAAAAACCCCAAAUUUGGAGCUUUUUUCCUCCAUUAAAAAAUCAAAUUUUGGGGUUUUUUUUCCCCUAAAAAAAGCCCCAAAUUUUGGAGUGGGGGUGUCCCCAACCCUCCCCCCAAAAUUUUGGGGUUCCCCACCCCCCCCGGCCCCUCCCAGCCCCCCUUUUUUGGGAUUUCCUGCCCCCCCCGGUUUAUUUCCCCUUCCCGCGGGUUCCGCUGAAAACGGCGGCGCCGCUCCAGGUGAGGGGGGGGGGGGAUUUUGGGGGGUCCCGGGGGGGUUUUUGGGGACCCCUCCCCCUCCAACCCGAUUUUAGGGGGUCCUCGCCUCAUUUUUGGGGGGAUCCCGGCCUGAA